RNAcentral lists this long non-coding RNA (1632 nucleotides) under Salvia miltiorrhiza (redroot sage). Its description in RNAcentral is "long non-coding RNA (SMIL_LNC012079)". The record is from RNAcentral. Lineage: Eukaryota; Viridiplantae; Streptophyta; Magnoliopsida; Lamiales; Lamiaceae.
AAGAGUCUUUAAUAACACUAUAGAAAACAUGAUUAAAAUAUCCUAAGCACCACACACAUCCAUCACACAUCUCCUUGCUCCUCGCCUGAAAAUGUUUUAAACAAAGUGGGGUGAGUAUUUUAAAUAUACUCAGUGAGGGAGAAUUCAUAACUAACUUUUACUUUGUCCAAACGUGAAACAUAGCAUAUGAAAUAUAAAAUCAUAACUUCAACCAUAAACCAACAACUUGCUCAUAUAACAAGAGAGGAAAUUUGGGACAUAACUUCAACCACAUUUCAAUACAACACUUAAGGAAGUAUGAACACAUGGGACAUAUCACUUCAACUGUGCACAAGAACAUAAACUUGGCAUAUUGCUAUAUGCUCACAUCAUAAUCUCAUUCAUAAAUCAUAGCAUAUGUAAACACGUUGAACAUAAAAUAACUUUCACAAUAAAUAACUUAAACAUUUCUUUGCGGAAUUUAACUUGAAAUAAAAGAAUUUUCUUUAUUUUACCCACCUCAAAUCCUUGGUGGUAAACUUAACUCGGGGAUAGAGAUCCUAAUUGCGCCGCACCUAAUCACAUAAAUACAUAAUACCAUGUAAGGGCCUAAAAAAUAAAAAUAAAAUAAAUAAUAAAAUAAAUAACAUAUCUUAACUUAAAUAAUAUCUAACUAAUUACCUCAGAUAACUAUAACUUAAUACCCACUUUGGGAACUUAAAGAAAAUUAAAUCACUUAUCCUGAACUAAAGAUAUUUAACUAGAAACACAAAUCACUUCCCAAACUGGACGAAAAUCAAAAGAAUAAAAUAUUAAAAUUAACAAACUGAUCUCAAAUCAAAUACUUAUAAUCUUACUCUUAUUCUACUAUCAUUAUUCGGGUAGUAAACUAAAAGAAUUAAAUUGUUAGCCAAUAAAACUUUUUGCCAAAAACAAAGAAAUUAAAGUAAAUGAAAAUGAUAGAGUAAAAUAAAAAUAAAAAUAAACCAAAGAAUUAAUAAUAUUCCAAUUCUACACUAAACGGCAGAUAUGGUCCACUGUGACAAAUCAAUUUCACAAGAUUUAAUUUAGAAAACUUUCAGUAGUUCAUAUAGAUACCAAGACAAGUUAAAAGACUUAUACAUAUGUAAAGAUAUAUAUAAUUUACGCUAACAUCAGCAUAUUCAAAAUUUAAUCCAAAUCUCACUUUACAAUUCGGUCUCUGCUAUGGAAGAUUUCCAACAAAUAAAAUAUAUAUAUUUCGACUCAAAUUCAAAAUAAGAGUACUCAAUAAAUUAAAUUUUGAAAAGAAUCAGGAGAUCAUCGAAUGAAUGGAGAUUUGAAACCUUACUAGAGUUCCUGAUUUCUGACAAAACUCUUGAUCGCUAGACGAACUCUUGAAUCUUGAUUGCUUGAAGAACUUAAGCAGGGAGAAUUUUGAGAGCUUUUGAAUGGUUGUGAAAGAAAAGAAGAUGGCAAAAUAUAAAGGUGGAGAAUGAGGAUUUUUAGACGAUCAGUUUGUGAAACCGUCUGUGCAAGUUUUCAGAAAGGAGAGGGAGUCGGAACGGUUUUUACACGUUCAAAGCGAUAGGAACAUUUUCUUUAAAUAAAAUUAUCGGAACUGUCUACGAAAAUACUGAUGUUCUGAUAUAAUAUCAGAUAAAAUUAAAGUAG